AAUUAACUACAACAAGAACGUAGUUGAACAAAUAGAGAUUAAACCCGACAAACUAUAUUAACAUAACACGAAGUUCAUCCUUCAAUAGGUUCCAUCAAAACCCUAGACUAAAUAUUUAGCUACUCGUAGCAAAGCAAGAUAAAACCACAAAAGUAUUUAUAAUGUGCAAAUAAAUAUAACAAAGAGAAGAUUGAAAAACUCUAAUGGUUGAUAUCUCUUCUCACACUUGUUCUUGCCUCCAAUUCAGUCUAAAAACCUUGAUAAUGUCCCUUUGGGCGAGUUGGACCUCUUAUAGGUUAAGUGGAAUUACCCCCGAACUUCCAAGUUUACCCCUGAAUUAUAUUUUUCCGAACUGGACUAGCGCGGUCGCGCUAGUGGGCGCGCUACUGACCGCGCAUAUGGCAUAGUAUUCUGCCUCGAACUCCUGGGCUAGCACGAUCGCGCUAGUGGACCAUCAUUUCAGCUCUUCUUUUCUCUCCUCUUUCAACGUACUCAGCUCCGAGGGGCUUUCCUUGCUUCAAUUUAGCUCCAAAUACAGUCAUAAGUCCUCGUACGCGCAACUCGCUCCUGCAAAACAUAAAAUUCACAAUUAGAGCCAAUUUAUCAUCAUUUAACUAUCCUACAACAGUGAAACAUCGUCAAGCUGGGACAUAAACAGUCGCCAAAUUACAUGAAUCUAGCCUAUUAUCAAGAGGCAAACCCAAGAUCUGAAAGUAAUAUGGGUACCAAUAUCAAAAAGAUUGAGCAAAUGCUAAAAAUUGAACUAGCGUACUAAAAGUCAAGUUGUGCCCCCCUCCCUCCAAAUCGAUCAAUGCAGUUGCCUAAGCGACUUUUAAUGCCUCCCUCCUCCAAAUCGAUCAAUGCAACUGCCUAAGCUUUAAGUGUUAUGGUAUCAAUAAAAUUAUAUUCCUGUCAUUUAAGAUAUAUACAUAUAUUUUUUUCGAAACUAUCGGGCCGAUGAUCUCCUACCCUAAGG
This 976-nucleotide long non-coding RNA is filed under the name Nicotiana tabacum (common tobacco). Its description in RNAcentral is "long non-coding RNA (NTAB_LNC010068)". The record is from RNAcentral. Lineage: Eukaryota; Viridiplantae; Streptophyta; Magnoliopsida; Solanales; Solanaceae.